Cebus imitator (Panamanian white-faced capuchin) is the source of this 523-nucleotide long non-coding RNA. RefSeq lists it as uncharacterized. Lineage: Eukaryota; Metazoa; Chordata; Mammalia; Primates; Cebidae. The transcript is spliced from 2 exons. The record is from RefSeq and is a predicted model, not a curated record.
ACCUGUUAGAUGAAAGAUAACACUAGCCCAUUGAUGGCUAUGCUGGAAGGAAAACCCAGGGGUGGUGAGGUGAAUUCUCCCUCAUCUCUGAAUCCCAGUGCUGGGCUGCCUCGUGCCACGGUCAUUAACCAGAGGUAUUUGUAUUUAAUUUUAAAAUUUAAUCUCCAGUCCCUCAUCACACCAGGCACAUUUCCAGUGCCCAGUGGCCCUGCACUCGCAACACAGAGGGAACAUUCCUGUCUGUGCAGAACAGGCUUGCGGCAGCAGCUCCAACCUGGCACAGGGUCUGUUUGUGAGUCACCGACCUGAACACUGCCUGAGCUUGGAUUGGCAACAGGAGACAUUCCAGCAGUGAUGAUGACGACGCUCCAGAUAGAUGGGCACCCUAGAGAAGGGACACCAUGGAAGUGGCUUCUUAGGAACAGUCCACCCAGACCUGCAGCUUUGGAGACCAGUGAAAGAAGAGGGGAAUGAAAUUUCUAAAAAAAGAAAAAAAUGUGUUAUGUUUAAAUGUUAAUGACAG